This is a long non-coding RNA of Chiroxiphia lanceolata (lance-tailed manakin), 778 nucleotides long. RefSeq lists it as uncharacterized. The record is from RefSeq and is a predicted model, not a curated record. The transcript is spliced from 5 exons. NCBI's taxonomy places the organism in Eukaryota, Metazoa, Chordata, Aves, Passeriformes, Pipridae.
UUGGGGUGACAGUCCAUUGCUGACCACUUGUGCUGGGCACUCCCCAGAGCAGCCUCGUGGCUGAGUGUGGAGGAAGCCCCGGGGAGGCUCUCCAGGCACAAAAUGGUCUUGGUGGGAUCUCCUGCCCUGGAGAACCCCUUCUGGAGACAGAGCUGUGGUGGUGGCUUUAGUACAAGGCCUUUUCGUACCAGGAAGGAGAGACAGAGAAGAAAGUAGAUACUUUCUUGAAAGUAGUGAGAGUUUAACAAAGGAAUUUCAGAGAUUGUAGGAUCCAGAGGAAAGUUUAACAGGGAAGAUCCAAACAGUGCCAAGUCCAGAAUGAUCCCUCUUUGCACUGGGUGCUUUCUGAUCCUACUGGGAAAAUACCUUAACAAUUAGCACAAGGAGCAAGUGGAUCCUUGCAGGGAAAUACAGCAGAGACUUCAUAGAUUUGAGUUUCCUUCCCCUUGGUAGAACGUGGAUAGCACAUAGAGAAGUGACUCAGAUUCAUCAUAGGAAAAUAUCACGUGUGAUAACCCUCAGGUGGAACUUUGCUCAAGCUGAAGCACGGGAUGUGCAAGGUGCCAAACUGCUUUUAUUCCUUGCUUCCAUGGGUUCAUUAAAUGCUGUUUUCACCUCCUUCUCAGCCAAAUUAAAGGGUCAAUGUAGAGGGAUUCAACACACAGAAUUGCUGAGAGUGUGUUUGACGACUAAAAUGGGAGAAAAUAUGACCCUAAGGUUUUUUGGAUAUUAAACCCAUCUUCUAUGCUUGUUUUUCAGAGCUGAGUUGAAGGUCCUG